Molecule: non-coding RNA, 511 nt
Organism: Streptomyces auratus AGR0001
Lineage: Bacteria; Bacillati; Actinomycetota; Actinomycetes; Kitasatosporales; Streptomycetaceae
Source: Rfam
GCGCGGACGGAGUGCUCCCACUCCGCGUCCGGCGACAGCAGCGCCGCCGCACCGAGGGCGUCACCGUCGGCCAGCACCCCCAGCACCGUCUCGUCGCCGUACUUGCCGGUGCCCCUGCGGUCGAGCUUGCCGUGCGCGAUCAGGAUGACCCGGUCGGCCUGCCCGCCCUGCCGGGCCAGCACAUCACCCGGUGCGAACUCCCGCUGGACGAACCGGUCCGCCAGCGCCUCCAGCGUCGCCGCGUCGGUGUAGCCGCGCAGCGGGGCCAGCUCGCGCAACUCCGCCGGAAUGACCCGGACGUCGGAACCGGUCGAGACGAACUCCACCCGGCCGUCACCGAGGGUGUGGGUCAGCCGCCGGUUGACGCGGUACGUACCGCCGGAGACCUGCGUCCAGGGCAGGAUCCGCAGCAGCCAGCGGGAGGAGAUCCCCUGCAUCUGCGGCACGGUCUUGGUCGUGGUCGCCAGCUUGCGGGCGGCCGCGGUGUCCAGGCUGGACCGGCUCCGCUCGG